GCGGGUAUAGCUCAGAGGUAGAGCACAUGCCUAGCAUGCAUGAGGUCUUAGGCUCACUCUCCUGCACCCCCA
Molecule: transfer RNA, 72 nt
Filed under: Camelus dromedarius (Arabian camel)
Lineage: Eukaryota; Metazoa; Chordata; Mammalia; Artiodactyla; Camelidae
Also listed under: 1 other name
Rfam family: tRNA
About the family: Transfer RNA (tRNA) molecules are approximately 80 nucleotides in length. Their secondary structure includes four short double-helical elements and three loops (D, anti-codon, and T loops). Further hydrogen bonds mediate the characteristic L-shaped molecular structure. tRNAs have two regions of fundamental functional importance: the anti-codon, which is responsible for specific mRNA codon recognition, and the 3' end, to which the tRNAs corresponding amino acid is attached (by aminoacyl-tRNA synthetases). tRNAs cope with the degeneracy of the genetic code in two manners: having more than one tRNA (with a specific anti-codon) for a particular amino acid; and 'wobble' base-pairing, i.e. permitting non-standard base-pairing at the 3rd anti-codon position.
Source: Rfam by way of RNAcentral